CCUUACCAGCCCUUGACAUACCGGUCGCGGACACAGAGAGGUGUCUUUCAGUUCGGAUGGACCGGAUACAGCUGGUGCAUGGCUGUCGUCAGCUGGUGUCGUGAGAUGAUGGGUUAAGUCCUGCAACGAGGGCAACCCUCGCCUUUAGUUGCCAUCAUUUAGUUGGGCACUCUAAAGGGACUGCCAGUGAUAAGCUGGAGGAAGGUGGGGAUGACGUCAAGUCCUCAUGGCCCUUACGGGCUGGGCUACACACGUGCUACAAUUGUGGUGACAGUGGGCAGCAAGCACGGGAGUGUGAGCUAAUCUACAAAAGCCAUCUCAGUUCGGAUUGCACUCUCAACUCGACUGCAUAACUGGCAUCGCUUAUGUUCACGUCCCUCCACCUGC
This 387-nucleotide ribosomal RNA is filed under the name uncultured bacterium. Its description in RNAcentral is "bacterial SSU rRNA". It matches the Rfam family "Bacterial small subunit ribosomal RNA", at positions 969 to 1335 of the family's 1533-position model. The record is from RNAcentral.